This 71-nucleotide transfer RNA is filed under the name Loxodonta africana (African savanna elephant). It matches the Rfam family "tRNA". From Rfam's summary of the family: Transfer RNA (tRNA) molecules are approximately 80 nucleotides in length. Their secondary structure includes four short double-helical elements and three loops (D, anti-codon, and T loops). The record is from Rfam by way of RNAcentral. Lineage: Eukaryota; Metazoa; Chordata; Mammalia; Proboscidea; Elephantidae.
ACAUUGGUGGUUCAGUGGUAGACUUCUUGCCUUCCAUUCCGGAGACCUGGCUUUAAUUCCCAGCCAAUGCA